UGGGGAAUCUUAGACAAUGGGGGCAACCCUGAUCUAGCCAUGCCGCGUGAGUGAUGAAGGCCUUAGGGUCGUAAAGCUCUUUCGCCGGGGAAGAUAAUGACGGUACCCGGUAAAGAAACCCCGGCUAACUCCGUGCCAGCAGCCGCGGUAAUACGGAGGGGGUUAGCGUUGUUCGGAAUUACUGGGCGUAAAGCGCGCGUAGGCGGAUCGGAAAGUUGGGGGUGAAAUCCCGGGGCUCAACCCCGGAAUUGCCUUCAAAACUCCCGGUCUUGAGGUCGAGAGAGGUGAGUGGAAUUCCGAGUGUAGAGGUGAAAUUCGUAGAUAUUCGGAGGAACACCAGUGGCGAAGGCGGCUCACUGGCUCGAUACUGACGCUGAGGUGCGAAAGCGUGGGGAGCAAACA
This 402-nucleotide ribosomal RNA is filed under the name uncultured prokaryote. RNAcentral describes it as "bacterial SSU rRNA". It matches the Rfam family "Bacterial small subunit ribosomal RNA", at positions 355 to 774 of the family's 1533-position model. The record is from RNAcentral.